RNAcentral lists this long non-coding RNA (903 nucleotides) under Pan troglodytes (chimpanzee). Its description in RNAcentral is "long non-coding RNA NONPTRT003594". The record is from RNAcentral. Lineage: Eukaryota; Metazoa; Chordata; Mammalia; Primates; Hominidae.
UCACACUCUGGGGACUGCUGUGGGGUGGGGGGAGGGGGAGGGAUAGCAUUGGGAGAUAUAACUAAUGCUAGAUGACGAGUUAGUGGGUGCAGCGCACCAGCGUGGCACAUGUAUACAUAUGUAACUAACCUGCACAUUGUGCACAUGCACCCUAAAACUUAAAGUAUAAUAAUAAUAAAUUAAAAAAAAAGGCACCAAUCCCACCCAUGAAGGUGGAGCCCUCGUGGUCUAAUUACGUCUUAAAGUUUCCAUAUCUUAAUGCUGUUAUAAUGGCAAUUAAAUUUCAACAUGAGUUUUGAAGGGGACAAAUGAUCUAACCCUGGCAAAUACCAUAUUUAUAUCAGAUAUUAUGCUGAAUACUUUCACACUGAUCUUCUAUAAUCUUCAGCCAACUUUUUGCUUAUUGGUCAGAUAAGAAAACUCAUUGAUGUUUAAUUAUUUGAGAUAAUAUAGUCAAAAUUGGUGUGAGAACCUGUAUUGGUUUGAGACUUUAGUUCCCCAUAGUGUACUCACUAUGAUAGUCAUGUGAUUAGCUCAAACAAAAUGCAACUGUUAGUAUUAAUGACAAAAAUGGCUGAAAUGUCACAUUCCCUCAAUCAUGUUUCAUGUCAGCCCUUAUCUUUUGACUGUAGACACAAUUAUGUGUCGAUAGCAUAUUUAGAGUGUUAUAUUAAAAUUUUAUCUGUGCUUGAGUAAAGUUCAAAAUAUUGUAAGAUAGUAUAGCUUAUUAUUGGGAGAAAAAUACAAAGAUAUAAGUGAGUAGUUAAUGUUUUUAUUACUAGUAAAAUAAUUUUAGAGAUCUUUUGAAAACUAAAGCCAGGAUAGAUUUUAUUAUACUAUACUUAUUAUUUUUCAUAAGAGAAACAUAAUUUUUAUAUUAAGGAUAAUUGUUUAUAUAUUUUU